RNAcentral lists this long non-coding RNA (2246 nucleotides) under Citrus maxima (pomelo). Its description in RNAcentral is "long non-coding RNA (CMAX_LNC001616)". The stretch from base 233 to 323 matches the Rfam family "Plant small nucleolar RNA SNOR75". Lineage: Eukaryota; Viridiplantae; Streptophyta; Magnoliopsida; Sapindales; Rutaceae. The record is from RNAcentral.
ACAAACCCUAAACAGGAUAACGAGAACACUCGUGUAUAAAUCAAAGUGAGAUUGGCUCUUAAUUGGUGACGCUGCACUCGCAUUACUACUAAGCAGUGCCUGUUCUAGGUUAGGGUUUUUGUUGUCUCAGAUGAUUGUCUUGUUGUAUCUUUUGCUUGUUUGUUAAUGUUCAUUUAUAAAAAUUGUUUUAUUUUUACACCAACAUGAAUAAGAGAAAUUGAUUUGGGGAUUUUAUCUGUGAUGAUGAAUUAAUGAUGACGAGUCCGAUCAAUUAUCCAAUCCAUUCACCCUUGACGACAAAUCGAGGCAUUUGUCUGAGAUAAGCCCCCAUUAUAUCACAUCUAUUUCGUUCAUAAAUUUCUGAGUGCAUAAGCUUAUCUUCGUAUUUUGCUUAUUUAUCUAAUCGUUUGGAAUUGUUAUUUAUAUUCACUACCAUGUUCCUUUGGAUGCAUAAAUUGUAUGCAACAUAAACUGGGUUUCCAUCUACAGACUGUAGAAUCAUAUAUUUUAUAUAUAAUAUGCAUUGGUGCUUGUAUGUGCAAAUCCUAAUUUUAUAAUCUUCCUUUAGUUGUUGAGUUAUUUUUCAAAUGAAAAUUGUUGUUUUUGUGCUUAUGAACAUAUACUAAUAAGCUUUGUCUUAGCUUGUUUACUGUGAAUUAUGCCAGAAAGCAUUGUUUGGUUAUGGCAAGUAUGAAGUGCGUAAUGUGUAUGCAUGUAUAUUCAUGUAUCUAUGAAUGCUGUACAUUUCAUAAAUACUUGAGUUUGUUGCUUGCGUGCCUUUAUAUUAGUUCUCAAAGUUCUGUGAUUCGAUUUGACAAGUCCUUUCUGGACAUUGAUAGAGAAAAUGUGGCUAUGAUGAAGAAAAAACGACCUUUUAUUUCCUGAGGCACUCAAUUCCUUUGAUUAAUUUCAAGCACUUUUGAGCCACAUUACUAUGAGAAUAAAUUCUUUCAUGUACUUUUAUUAUGAUGAUUUCAAAGUGUUUUAUCAAUUAUUUUCUGAAGUAGAAAAUUUGGUGAGGAUUUACUUAACAUUUUUGCAUGUGUGAUCUCUAAGGUUUAACUGAAUCAUCACCAUCAUCUUCGGUUGAUUCAUAUAGUGUGUCUAUAUGUGGAACAUGUCAUGCACAGUAGGUGUUAAGUACUUUUACUUGCACUGCCAGUCCCCCCUUUACUAAUAAUAACAAGGGAAAGAAAGCCUCAACCAGAACGACAUUCCUUUUGCGUGCGGAUGUAGCUAAGUGUGUGAGAGCAUCUUUGUUGAUUUAUUAAUGUUUCUAUAUGUGGAUUUUUGAAUGGGUCUCGCAUGAUAGGUGUUAAGACACUUUCACUUGCACUGCCUGUUAGUGUAAGGUUUUGUUAUUUGAUAUUUUCAAACCAUGCAUUUCGAUAUUUCUGUCUGGCAUUUACAACCUUAUUUUAAACCUUUUUGGCGAGAGAUUCUUGUAAAUUUCUUCUUAAUAUUAUCUCAAGCAGCUGAGUUUAGAUUUUAUUGGGAUUUGGCUUUGGGCAAAGCUUGGGAGUUCGGAUGUUAAUACAAAAUUCUUCUUUUGUUUACUAAAAUUUCAUCAUUGAUAUAAUAAAUAAUAUUGGAAAUAAUUUUGGGGCUUGAGCUGCAGCAACAGCAAACUCUGAUUUUUUGCCACGACGAAUCCUUUGGGUACAUUAUUGAAUUCUUUUAGUCUUGAAGGAGAGGCUGCUGAGGCUAGGCCUUCUCCGGUUUUGGGAUCCGAGGUUCUAUUCAUAAGUGGUCGUGUUUGUAACUGAUCCCUGAUUCCAUGUAAAUUUCACGACAACUUUUUAUGUUAAUUAUUUUCAUUUUUCCAAUUUUCUUUUGCAUUGAAGAUUGAUUACUCAGUGAGAAAUUAUACACUAUGUAGCGGCAUUUAAACUCGUUUUAAAAAUCUUGAAAGUUAAUUUUAUUAAUCAGAUAUAAUCAUGAUUCGUUUGCACCUUGCGGAUGUUACUUAUUGCUCUGGAUUUGUGGAAGAAUCCGUGGAUAAACAAGGCUGAAGCUUUACACACAUAAUAUCUUUACGAUGACUCACUCUCGGUCAUGCACCAAGGAUGCUUCUUACACUUAAUAAUCGAAUUGCAUAAAUUUAUGUACAUAUAUAUGCGAUGUGUUAUUAAAGUAACAGUGUAGUUGGCUUAUUUACAGUAAUGGUAUAGUUUGAUAGUAUUAAAUUUGAUUAUUAAACCGUAAAAAAAAAAAAAGACGAAAAGAAAAUGUAGUUGUAACGUGGU